GACGAACGCUGGCGGCGUGCUUAACACAUGCAAGUCGAACGGAAAGGCCCUGCUUUUGUGGGGUGCUCGAGUGGCGAACGGGUGAGUAACACGUGAGUAACCUGCCCUUGACUUUGGGAUAACUUCAGGAAACUGGGGCUAAUACCGGAUAGGAUCUCCUGCUGCAUGGUGUGGGUUGGAAAUUUUCGGCGGUUGGGGAUGUACUCGCGGCUUAUCAGCUUGUUGGUGGGGUAGUGGCUUACCAAGGGUUUGACGGGUAGCCGGCCUGAGAGGGUUACCGGGAAAAAUGGGAAUGAGAGACGGACCAGAAGGCAACGGGAGGCAGCAGGGGGGAAUAUUGCACAAAGGGCGGAAGCCUGAUGCAGAAACGCAGCGUGCGGGAUGACGGCCUUCGGGUUGUAAACAGCUUUAGCCUGUGACGAAGAGUGAGUGACGGUAAUGGGUAAAGAAGCACCGGCUAACUACGUG
This 468-nucleotide ribosomal RNA is filed under the name uncultured bacterium. Its description in RNAcentral is "partial 16S ribosomal RNA". It matches the Rfam family "Bacterial small subunit ribosomal RNA", at positions 28 to 507 of the family's 1533-position model. The record is from RNAcentral.